ACCCAGAUAGUUUAAAUAAAACAUCGGUCUUGUAAGCCGAAGCCGAGGGCUAACCACCUUCUCCAGGUG
This 69-nucleotide transfer RNA is filed under the name Pachytriton brevipes (black-spotted stout newt). Its description in RNAcentral is "tRNA-Thr". It matches the Rfam family "tRNA". From Rfam's summary of the family: Transfer RNA (tRNA) molecules are approximately 80 nucleotides in length. Their secondary structure includes four short double-helical elements and three loops (D, anti-codon, and T loops). The record is from RNAcentral. Lineage: Eukaryota; Metazoa; Chordata; Amphibia; Caudata; Salamandridae.